AAAGUCAGAUGUGAAAUCCUACAGCUUAACUGUAGAACUGCAUUUGAAACUUCCAACCUAGAGUAUGGGAGGGGGAGAUGGAAUUAGUGGUGUAGGGGUAAAAUCCGUAGAUAUCACUAGGAAUACCUAAAGCGAAGGCGAUCUCCUGGAACAUUACUGACGCUAAGGUGUGAAAGCGUGGGGAGCAAACGGGAUUAGAUACCCCGGUAGUCCACGCCCUAAACGAUGAACACUAGUCGUCGGGAUGCUUGUCAUCUCGGUGAUGCACUUAACAGAUUAAGUGUUCCGCCUGGGGAGUACGGUCGCAAGAUUAAAACUCAAAGGAAUAGACGGGGACCCGCACAAGUGGUGGAGCAUGUGGUUUAAUUCGAAGAUACGCGAAGAACCUUACCUAGCCUUGACAUUGAAGAAAUACCCUAGAGAUAGAGUAGUGCCCUUCGGGGAAUCUGAAAACAGGUGCUGCACGGCUGUCGUCAGCUCGUGUCGUGAGAUGUUGGGUUAAGUCCCGCAACGAGCGCAACCCUCGUCAAUAGUUGCCAGCAGGUUAAGCUGGGCACUCUAUUGAGACUGCCUUCGCAAGGAGGAGGAAGGUGAGGACGACGUCAAGUCAUCAUGGCCCUUAUGGCUAGGGCUACACACGUGCUACAAUGGGGCGUACAGAGUGUUGCGAUACCGUGAGGUGGAGCCAAUCACUUAAAGCGUCUCUCAGUUCGGAUUGAAGUCUGCAACUCGACUUCAUGAAGCUGGAAUCACUAGUAACCGUAGAUCAGCAAUGCUACGGUGAAUACGUUCCCGGGUCUUGUACUCACCGCCCGUCACACCAUGGGAGUUGAUUUCGCCCGAAAUUGGGAAGCUAACCUUCGGGAGGCUACCACUUACGGCGGAAUUAGCGACUGGGGUGAAGUCGUAACAAGGUAGCC
This 920-nucleotide ribosomal RNA is filed under the name uncultured bacterium. Its description in RNAcentral is "bacterial SSU rRNA". It matches the Rfam family "Bacterial small subunit ribosomal RNA", at positions 584 to 1501 of the family's 1533-position model. The record is from RNAcentral.